Formica exsecta is the source of this 2401-nucleotide RNA transcript. It is a transcript of the gene named retina and anterior neural fold homeobox protein 2-like, with no coding region annotated. The transcript is spliced from 4 exons. The record is from RefSeq and is a predicted model, not a curated record. Lineage: Eukaryota; Metazoa; Arthropoda; Insecta; Hymenoptera; Formicidae.
GGAUCUCGUAGAUAACAGACAAAUAAAAACAUUAUUUGUUUACAACGUCUUAUUCGUACGAGUUCGUUAAAGAGGGGAUUGAAGAGUGGGGAUUGUAUUUCACAAGCAUAUUGUAUUUUCGAAUAGAAUAGGAUCUCGUAGAUACAUAAACAGACAAAGAUAAAUAUUAUUUGUUUACAACGUCUUACUCGUACGAGCUCGUUGAGGAGGGGAUUGAAGAGUGGGGAUUGUACACACAAACACGCAAGAAAACUUAAAGUUUUAUUCAGUUAAUUGUCAACUUUCGGCUGAACUAGAUUUGUCGAAACUAAUACGGAGUGUAACUUACUAUAAAGAACAACAUAAAUACUACGAGACAUACUGUAUUCCUUUAACUCACAAUCUUCGGUUGCCUGAUUUCGACGUAUGCGAGGUUAAGCAUUGGGCAAGGUCGAAUUCGCUACGUGCACCCUUGGUAUUAUAGGAAGGCGAGCUACCCCAUUGGAUUAGGAGACCCCAUAGAGGGAAAAAUGUAAUAUAAAAGGCUUACUGGCUAAGCUGUUAAUAUGUUGUACGAGGACGUGUCCGAGGAGGAACUAUGUAUAUAUUACCACGCUGUUCAAACAUAUGUCGUUCAUGAUCGUGUUGAUGCAGAAGAUGGUUUGCGGAUUAUGAAAUCAACAAGAAACAAAAUAAUUGGAAUGCAAAGCAUUAUUGCAAAAGAAAACCUUAUUGUGACUAUAAUUUAUACGUAAUUUAUAUAUAAUUUAUCAUAAAAAUAAAAGUAACAAGGAGAUAAAAUUUCAAAAAUAUAAAAAAAUUUAGGGUAUUAAUAAAUACAUAAAUUUACAGAAACAUGUUUCUUUAUCAGACUCUACUUUGCUAAUUAAUAUCACGUAAAUACGUCGCAGAAGAAUAAAAUCAACAAUCUAAUCAAAUGUCGCAACAUAGAAUUAUUUCUUUGUCUCAACAUAAAAAGGAAAUAUUAAUCCCAGACAAAUAACGACGACAGAGAUUUAACAUGAUUUUCCUUAAGAAAUAUGCGGCGUCGGUGCAAAUAAAACUAGUCGACUGCAUUAGAUUAUAUAAUUCGCUUUGUGCAGCUAUAAUAAAUUUAGGCUACUUAGUCGAUAAAUCUCACCUUUUUGUUUUUUAAAGAUAAUUAUCUCUGUCGACAUGCACUAUUAGAACUUACAUAAUUAUAAUUAUAGAGAGGAAAAAAAAGAAAAAUUCUCGUUAUUAUAUAUAAUUCUAAACUUGUGUUAUCUAUUUAUCUGUGUAAAACUUUUGCAAGAGUAUUAGUACUUUAGUCACAAAAUAUAAUAUUUCUUACGUGAUAAAAUUAUAAUUGUUUAUUCUAUAAUAGUCGAUUUUAAUGUCAAUUAAGCAUUUAGCAAUUAAAUUUCUGUUUCUACAAAAAGACGAUAAUCAAUAAAACCACGAUUAAAAUAAAUUGGUAUUGGUGCAAUCACAAUCAUAAUACAUAGUUGGCAUGUUUAAUAUUAAACGGGCAAAGUGAGAACAUUGUACUUGUUGCACAGCUUAUAAAUUCUUCGCCAUCAUGUUUUCACAAUUAAGCUAUUAAUUUAAUUAUCCCAUUAAUCAACUAGCAUUAUUAGCUGACCCUAUUCCGGAUUAUUACUAGGUGCUCGGCAGCACAGUGUCUAAACGAGAUAAGGAACAAUGUAUUUAUCAGAUGCAUAUCGCGUGUCCGUCGCGAAUAAAACAAGCAUUAUAAAUAGAGUCGUAGCGCGGACAACACUUAAUAUAUUUGCGUUUGUAUUACGCCCUUGCCCACGGAGAGAGGACGGCUGUAAGCCGAGCGAAGAACAGAGAGAGGACGAGCAGCGGGACCGACGGCGUUCACGUGGCGACACGUGCCCGAAAAAUUAAUUGAGACAUGAAAUUUAUUUGGCGCUCACAAGUCGGAACCGAUCAACGUCUUUGAGUCGAUGAAAAUUUUACGCGGAUCGAUGCUGAAACGCGUUUGAAGUAACUAACAUCGUAUUUAAAGUGUAUGCAAUUUAUAUAUAAAAUGAUAUUAUAAAAAUAAAAUAUUUUUUGAUCGUUUUAAGGAACUUUAGCCUUAGUUUGCAGAAAAAAUAAUACCGGCGAAUAGUUAGAUUAUUUGGAUCAUAGGAAUAAGUUCUACGUGGUUUGAUAUUUUUGGCGAGAAUUUAUAGAUUAAAAUUAAGUUAUUAAUCAGAAUAAAUAUAAUGUUAGAAGAUUAUUUAAUAAUAAAAUUAGCAGUCAUUAUCUCCUGAUAACUACUAAGAAAUUAGAUGUCAAAAAUGAAUCAAUGUGAUUUAAAUCUCUGUCACUCAAUAUAUGACUGGAUAAAUACUAUGUUUUGAUGAUUUUGCAACGGCAAAUUUAAAAUCGUAGUAGAAUUGUGUUUUAUUUUUAGAAAUAUUGUAAUCAC